CACCAUUUGUUUACCCUGCAAAUAACAUUUCCAGCCCCUGCUGGCAACACUUAGCACUUACUGCCUGGUGCCAGGCCCUCUGGAGUUGUUUCCUGAACCCUGGGUGUCACAGCCACUUAGCACACUGUUCAAACCCAGACUCGCCUCCGAGGAAUCAGCAUUGCUGGAGUGAGUGAAAACAUUUUACUAAGCAUCCCAAGUUCUGAGGGCCAUCAGUUCUGAGUGUGCUCAGGGCUUAUUCCUGGUUCUGCAGUCAGGAAUUACUCAUGGUGGGCUCAGAGGACUAUAUGUGGUGCUGGAGACUAACCUGGUCAGCAGCAUGCAAGAUGGAGCAAAAGGAGGAGCCAGGGAUAUGAACUCAGGUGUUCUGACUCCUUGGAAGGAAUAACUGGCCAGGCUUCCGCUUGAAUCCGGCGAUUUCCAGCUCUCAGUGUCUAGGAAGUCAGCCGAGGCACCAUUUCACGGGGAGAAGGCCUGCUCCUUCCGAGAGCCCUGUGCCUUUAAGAGGCGCCCCCUCCCUCCCAGGAUGCUCCAAUUUUCCUCCAGGGCACCGGGAGCACCAACCCCCCACCCCCUGGCAUCUGCGGAGCCUCUCUUCGGGACCUUUCUCCGUACCCCACCCACCUCUGACUGAGCUCCGGGUCCGGAUGGGGGUGCCCCCUGCCAGCUACGGACUCGGAACCUCCGCCCCGGACCGUGCCCACUACACCCCAGCAGAAUGCCCUCUAGGGGACACGAAUCCUGACCCCACCCCGCUCCAGCUUUCUAGGGGCGAGGCCUCAGCGCCCCCUCCCACGGCUGAGGCCCACUGCAGGCGUGAAGGUGACCUCCCUCGGGGGUAACACUUGCCCGGCGGUGCCCGGGCGGGCGAACACGUGGUGAGCUGGGAGCGCGCAGCCCCUCCCAGCCACGCGCCUCGAGCAUGCGUCCUGGGCACGCCCCUCGGGCUGGCCCCGCCCCGUGCCCGCGCACGCUUCUCGGGACCCUGGAGGGCGAGCGCCCUAGUGCAGCAGCAGCACGCUGGCCAUGUGGGCGGUGGAUCUUGGGAAGGGGCCCCCCACGCACCCUUGAACUGCGUCCUAGGACUGUGAGAAGCGGGAAGCCCGGCCUGCUUAGCCGGCAAUCUGGAGUCCCAGACCUCCCGUGUUCACUGCAGGAAUCGCCAGCCUAGGAGUCCAGCCAUAGUCUGGGGUGUCCUUGAUAUUUCAAAU
Long non-coding RNA from Sorex araneus (European shrew), 1211 nucleotides. RefSeq lists it as uncharacterized. NCBI's taxonomy places the organism in Eukaryota, Metazoa, Chordata, Mammalia, Eulipotyphla, Soricidae. The transcript is spliced from 3 exons. The record is from RefSeq and is a predicted model, not a curated record.